CUAGAGUUUGAUCCUGGCUCAGAAUCAACGCUGGCGGCGUGCCUAACACAUGCAAGUCGAACGAGAAAGUGUAGCAAUACAUGAGUAAAGUGGCGACCGGGUGAGUAACACGUGACUAACCUACCCUUGAGUGGGGGAUAACCUCGGGAAACCGGGGCUAAUACCGCAUAACAUUACGAGGCGCAAAUCCUUGUAAUCAAAGGAGCAAUUCGCUGAAGGAGGGGGUCGCGGCUGAUUAGCUAGUUGGUAAGGUAAUGGCUUACCAAGGCAAUGAUCAGUAGCCGGCCUGAGAGGGCGCACGGCCACACUGGAACUGAAACACGGUCCAGACUCCUACGGGAGGCAGCAGUGGGGAAUUUUGCGCAAUGGGGGAAACCCUGACGCAGCAACGCCGCGUGGAGGAUGAAGUCCCUUGGGAUGUAAACUCCUU
This 430-nucleotide ribosomal RNA is filed under the name uncultured Acidobacteriota bacterium. RNAcentral describes it as "bacterial SSU rRNA". It matches the Rfam family "Bacterial small subunit ribosomal RNA", at positions 1 to 435 of the family's 1533-position model. Lineage: Bacteria; Pseudomonadati; Acidobacteriota. The record is from RNAcentral.